AUCACUCCGAUAGAUGGAGUCACUAACUUUAAUGUGAGCCCGCGUCGGCAUGAUUUUUAAAUGUUGCCAAUUAUUCGCCGUCCUUUUGCUUCACAAUGUCGUCCAAAUGUUUUUCUCACGAUAGAAGAGCAUACCUCGCAACUGCAGCAUUUCUGAGCUAUGAAGAAAGUUUCGACGCAGCAGAGAAUUCUUUUCAUUUUCUUCCAUCUUCCGUAAAAGUAACGAGAGAAGGAGAGAGGCUGAGGUUACGGCUGAGUGAGCAACGCAUUCCGCUUGUUUCAACGAAUCAAUUUAUUUUCUUUGACACAAACUGCCACUGACUCUUUCAGGUAAGGUGAGCCCAGAGAAAGAGAAAAGUCUGUCUCCACAAGAUUCAUUUUAUAUGUUAAAAUUUACAAGAAGGGGCGUGUGUUUCGGCGCGAGAAAUGCGACUUGGUUUGUUUCUGUCGUGCAGCCGUUGUUUCGCAGCUCGGUCA
Long non-coding RNA from Harpegnathos saltator (Jerdon's jumping ant), 476 nucleotides. RefSeq lists it as uncharacterized. Lineage: Eukaryota; Metazoa; Arthropoda; Insecta; Hymenoptera; Formicidae. The transcript has 2 exons. The record is from RefSeq and is a predicted model, not a curated record.